Molecule: ribosomal RNA, 541 nt
Filed under: uncultured bacterium
Lineage: Bacteria
Description: bacterial SSU rRNA
Rfam family: Archaeal small subunit ribosomal RNA
Source: RNAcentral
AGUGAAUAGAUACCCGGGUAGUCCCAGCUGUAAACGAUGCGCGUUAGGUGUAUCGGUGACCACGAGUCACCGAGGUGCCGAAAGGGAAACCGUGAAACGUGCCGCCUGGGAAGUACGGUCGCAAGGCUGAAACUUAAAGGAAUUGGCGGGGGAGCACCACAACAGGUGGAGCCUGCGGUUUAAAUCGGACUCAACGCCGGGAAGCUCACCGGAUAAGACAGCUGAAUGAUAGCCGGGUUGAAGACUCUGCUUGACUAGCUGAGAGGAGGUGCAUGGCCGUCGUCAAAUUCGUACUGUGAAGCAUCCUGUUAAGUCAGGCAACGAGCGAGACCCACGCCAACAGUUGCCAGCAUGUCCUCCGGGAUGGUGGGGACACUGUUGGGACCGCCUCUGCUAAAGAGGAGGAAGGAAUGGGCAACGGUAGGUCAGCAUGCCCCGAAUUAUCCGGGCUACACGCGGGCUACAAUGGUCAGGACAAUGGUAUCAACACCGAAAGGUGAAGGCAAUCUCCUAAACCUGUCCUUAGUUCGGAUUGUGGGCU